AAAAACAAAAGUGGAAAAAGAAAUCAGACUCCCGAAACCAACGAUUCCCUUUCUUCCCGAGCCGCCGCCUCUGCGCCUCCGCUCGCAGCUCCUGGCCGGCGCCGGAAUCCCCAGCCUCGCGGCCCACCAUCACACCAGCUCAGGCUCCUCACCCCCACGGAUGAUGAUCCCCUCCCCGACGACCCAACCCCACGCCGGAUUUUCGCUAACCCUAGCAGCGUCAACCUCGCGGGGUUCGGCCCUUCCGUCGAUUAGCUAACAAGCGCGUCGAGGGCCGCAUCUGGCUUUCAAGGUCGCCGGCGUCUUCGCAGGGAUGCACGACGGCAGGGAGGCCGUGGUCGCGGCCGUCCGUCCGCGACCUGUACCAACCGCCGAUCAGGUGCACCUCGCCUGGUAGGGAGGCUGUGGUCGCGGGCAUGACCGCCGGUUCUCAAUGCUGGGAUGGGGUCGUCCACGACCUGCAGAGCUCGCUCCCAGUCCUUACCGCCGCGCUUCAGGAGGGGCUCUUCCAUACCAAGGUGGAUGUUAGUAAGUUUCAGGAGAGGUGCUGGUUGAGCUAUGCUAAUAGUUUCACCCUCAUGCUAAGGGACCUGGAGAAGCCGAGCAACGCUUCUCUUUUUUAAGAGAUCUACAUGAGUGAUCCAGCGUAUAAGAAUCGUGCAGAUAUUUGAGAGCCAGCCUUUGUUGCACAACAAUUCCGUGUCUCUCUUCCAGUACGUGAAGGCUCUUGCCAGUCUAACAUGCUGGAUGAGUUCCCCUGCUCAAAACGUUGAAGAAAGAGACCAAUGUCUAUUCAUGAUUUGGUCCGGCGAGACCUGGUCCAGCUCUGGUCGUGCAGACGAGGAAGAUGAUAUGGACGUCGUGGAGCCUGACCACCCUGACAUGCAGAAGAGGUUAGAUCCUCCAGUUGAGGAGCUGACCGAGGAGAUCCCCGGCGCGUCCCAGGAAGUGAAGGGCAUGGCCCUGGAAACCCUAUCUCUCUCUCAAGUCGUUGAGCAUCUCACCAUGGUGAUCCCGCUGGACUUCAGCAACCAUGUAUGCAUGGUACUAGAGCAAUUGUGUUGUUUAAAUGUAAAACCUGCUGCCGCCAUCUGUGAUGAUGCCUAUGUCGAUCGAAAGACGGGAGAUCCUCUUGCGGUCAAGGAAGUGAUGCAUCCCAGCAAGUAAAGGGUGUGUCCAUGGAAGCCAUGUCUCUCUCUAGGGGACAACAUCGGAGCUCUGGUACAUGUAUAUGAGGCUCUUCUUGGUCACUCGACUCGACAAAGGCGACGAGGGCGACAAGGACUGAGUUGCAAUGCGUCUUGCAUUCCUUUUACAACUUCUCCACUGCUUGCCACUGAGCACCGGGAGCAAGAUGGCGGCGGUGCCAGGGAGCAUGGGAUCGACUGAGCGUCGGCAGCAGCUGGAUGGCAGGAGCUGUCUGAGAUGGUGAGGACAGAAGCACGGAGACAGUACAAGGUGUCCCUCUGGUCAUCGCCUUCUGUGAUGACGCUGGCGGGCCAUUCGAUGCGUCUCCUUCCUCACCUCAGUGGCAUGCUUUGCUUCAGCUUGCAGGUUAUGACCUUCCCUCUCAUUUUCUCACUGGUUUGAUUUGGUCAGCACAUCUACAGUACACAUGAUUUUGUUCUGGGGAAACCACUACCUAUACCACGGAUGUGCAUUGUCAUCAGCGGAUAACUUAAACCGUCACUGGUUUGUGCCAACACAUUUAAAGCUGGCGCUUUUGAUCAGUUGAAGCAGAACGAACCAAGGUAUAUGGAGUUGGACCCAGUUAAGAUUGCCAUCGAGGGGCUGGAGAGGUUUAGCAAAGAAAACUAUCAUCUCAUCACCACCAUAGAGACGAGUGGACGCCAUAAGAAAGAGUUAUGGGAAGGCUGUGAGGCCGGUUGUCUCCUACGCGUGAGUCUGCUAGGUGAGGCAGGCUGAUUUGGCGGCAAGCAGGGAGCCGAAAUUACGACGACGAGCAGGGUCAGCUGCGGAGGAGCAUGAGGCAAGCUGUGGUGCAUCGUGCAGAGGGGCGGUUGCGUGGGUCUCCGUCGACACACGCUGCCAGCUCGGCGGCACCACCACGAACAGCGGAAAGUGAGCUGCAGCUGCAGCCGCAAGACGCCGGCGAUCAUGGCAAACUUUCGGAAUGCUCCAGACCAUAAGCUUUUGUAAUGCUUGAAAUGAGAAAGUUUUAAUAGUGUAGUUUCCUUUGUCUUGUAUGUAUUAAUCUAUUUUCUUAGUUCGCUCUCUCUCUAAUCAUACUUGUGAGUCGAGUUGAACCGAUGUGAGUAGUUAUGUUUGCACACAUUGUGAUCUGUGAUCUUAAUGUCCCAAAAAGAGCCAUUGUCAUGGAAAAUUUUGAGUGCAAUUUGUAGUUAUACUUUUGUUCUUAAAGAGAACGCUGCAAUGUUUUAUUUC
Lolium perenne is the source of this 2406-nucleotide non-coding RNA. Lineage: Eukaryota; Viridiplantae; Streptophyta; Magnoliopsida; Poales; Poaceae. The record is from RefSeq and is a predicted model, not a curated record.